CACGUAGGGUGCGAGCGUUGUCCGGAAUUAUUGGGCGUAAAGAGCUCGUAGGCGGUGUGUCGCGUCGGCCGUGAAAACCUGCAGCUUAACUGUGGGCUUGCGGUCGAUACGGGCAUCACUGGAGUUCGGCAGGGGAGACUGGAAUUCCUGGUGUAGCGGUGAAAUGCGCAGAUAUCCGGAGGAACACCGGUGGCGAAGGCGGGUCUCUGGGCCGAUACUGACGCUGAGGAGCGAAAGCGUGGGGAGCGAACAGG
RNAcentral lists this ribosomal RNA (254 nucleotides) under uncultured bacterium. RNAcentral describes it as "partial 16S ribosomal RNA". It matches the Rfam family "Bacterial small subunit ribosomal RNA", at positions 524 to 776 of the family's 1533-position model. The record is from RNAcentral.